UCCGGUUUGUCACCGGCGGUCUCCUUAGAGUUCCCACCAUUACGUGCUGGCAACUAAGGACAAGGGUUGCGCUCGUUGCGGGACUUAACCCAACAUCUCACGACACGAGCUGACGACAGCCAUGCAGCACCUGUGUUCGAGUUCCCGAAGGCACCAAUCCAUCUCUGGAAAGUUCUCGACAUGUCAAGGCCAGGUAAGGUGGGGAUGACGUCUAGGAGCUCGAC
RNAcentral lists this unclassified non-coding RNA (224 nucleotides) under uncultured Lysobacteraceae bacterium. RNAcentral describes it as "uncultured Xanthomonadaceae bacterium contains 16S-23S intergenic spacer region". The record is from RNAcentral. Lineage: Bacteria; Pseudomonadati; Pseudomonadota; Gammaproteobacteria; Lysobacterales; Lysobacteraceae.